UAGGGAAUCUUCCACAAUGGACGAAGGUCUGAUGGAGCAACGCCGCGUGAGUGAAGAAGGGUUUCGGCUCGUAAAGCUCUGUUGGUAGUGAAGAAAGAUAGAGGUAGUAACUGGCCUUUAUUUGACGGUAAUUACUUAGAAAGUCACGGCUAACUACGUGCC
This 162-nucleotide ribosomal RNA is filed under the name uncultured bacterium. Its description in RNAcentral is "partial 16S ribosomal RNA". It matches the Rfam family "Bacterial small subunit ribosomal RNA", at positions 355 to 509 of the family's 1533-position model. The record is from RNAcentral.